This 470-nucleotide ribosomal RNA is filed under the name uncultured bacterium. RNAcentral describes it as "bacterial SSU rRNA". It matches the Rfam family "Bacterial small subunit ribosomal RNA", at positions 335 to 798 of the family's 1533-position model. The record is from RNAcentral.
ACCCCUACGGGAGGCAGCAGUGGGGAAUAUUGCACAAUGGGGGAAACCCUGAUGCAGCCAUGCCGCGUGUGUGAAGAAGGCCUUCGGGUUGUAAAGCACUUUCAGUCGUGAGGAAGGUAGUGUAGUUAAUAGCGUGCUCAUUUGACGUUAGCGACAGAAGAAGCACCGGCUAACUCCGUGCCAGCAGCCGCGGUAAUACGGAGGGUGCGAGCGUUAAUCGGAAUUACUGGGCGUAAAGCGCAUGCAGGUGGUUUGUUAAGUCAGAUGUGAAAGCCCGGGGCUCAACCUCGGAAUUGCAUUUGAAACUGGCAGACUAGAGUACUGUAGAGGGGGGUAGAAUUUCAUGUGUAGCGGUGGAAUGCGUAGAUAUAUGAAGGAACACCAAUGGCGAAGGCAGCUUACUGGACAAGUAUUGACGCUGAGAUGCGAAAGUGUGGUAGCAAACAGGAUUAGAUACCCUGGUAGUGUAC